Molecule: ribosomal RNA, 253 nt
Filed under: uncultured Sphingobium sp.
Lineage: Bacteria; Pseudomonadati; Pseudomonadota; Alphaproteobacteria; Sphingomonadales; Sphingobiaceae
Description: partial 16S ribosomal RNA
Rfam family: Bacterial small subunit ribosomal RNA
Source: RNAcentral
UACGGAGGGGGCUAGCGUUGUUCGGAAUUACUGGGCGUAAAGCGCACGUAGGCGGUUAUUCAAGUCAGGGGUGAAAGCCCAGUGCUCAACACUGGAACUGCCCUUGAAACUAGAUAGCUUGAAUCCAGGAGAGGUGAGUGGAAUUCCGAGUGUAGAGGUGAAAUUCGUAGAUAUUCGGAAGAACACCAGUGGCGAAGGCGGCUCACUGGACUGGUAUUGACGCUGAGGUGCGAAAGCGUGGGGAGCAAACAGG